UACGAAGGGGGCUAGCGUUGUUCGGAAUUACUGGGCGUAAAGCGCGUGUAGGCGGGUCUUUAAGUCAGGGGUGAAAUGCCAAGGCUCAACCUUGGAACUGCCUUUGAUACUGGAGACCUUGAGUCCGGGAGAGGUGAGUGGAAUUGCGAGUGUAGAGGUGAAAUUCGUAGAUAUUCGCAAGAACACCGGUGGCGAAGGCGGCCUUCUGGACAGUGACUGACGCUGAGACGCGAAAGCGUGGGGAGCAAACAGG
Molecule: ribosomal RNA, 253 nt
Filed under: uncultured bacterium
Lineage: Bacteria
Description: partial 16S ribosomal RNA
Rfam family: Bacterial small subunit ribosomal RNA
Source: RNAcentral